UCAUUGAUGCAGCUACAAGAUAACUCGUAGUGGCAAAUUCCGCCAGACAUUGAUACUAUGAGUAUACUGGGUGGCAGUCAACUGUUAAGGGUCAAGCA
Haliotis rubra (blacklip abalone) is the source of this 98-nucleotide long non-coding RNA. RefSeq lists it as uncharacterized. The record is from RefSeq and is a predicted model, not a curated record. The transcript is spliced from 3 exons. Lineage: Eukaryota; Metazoa; Mollusca; Gastropoda; Lepetellida; Haliotidae.